Molecule: ribosomal RNA, 459 nt
Filed under: uncultured bacterium
Lineage: Bacteria
Description: partial 16S ribosomal RNA
Rfam family: Bacterial small subunit ribosomal RNA
Source: RNAcentral
CCUACGGGUGGCAGCAGUGAGGAAUAUUGGUCAAUGGUCGGGAGACUGAACCAGCCAAGCCGCGUGAGGGAUGAAGGUACAGAGUAUCGUAAACCUCUUUUGUCAGGGAACAAAGGCGGGGACGCGUCCCCGGUUGAGUGUACCUGAAGAAAAAGCAUCGGCUAACUCCGUGCCAGCAGCCGCGGUAAUACGGAGGAUGCGAGCGUUAUCCGGAUUUAUUGGGUUUAAAGGGUGCGCAGGCGGUCUGUUAAGUCAGUGGUCAAAGCCCGGGGCUCAACCCCGGCCCGCCGUUGAAACUGGCAGUCGCGAGUUGGAGAGAAGUAUGCGGAAUGCGCGGUGUAGCGGUGAAAUGCAUAGAUAUCGCGCAGAACUCCGACUGCGAAGGCAGCAUGCCGGCUCCACACUGACGCUGAGGCACGAAAGCGUGGGUAUCGAACAGGAUUAGAUACCCCUGUAGUC